Helicoverpa armigera (cotton bollworm) is the source of this 605-nucleotide long non-coding RNA. RefSeq lists it as uncharacterized. The transcript has 3 exons. Lineage: Eukaryota; Metazoa; Arthropoda; Insecta; Lepidoptera; Noctuidae. The record is from RefSeq and is a predicted model, not a curated record.
UGGUUACUGCACACAUCAUCAUAUGAUGUUAUUGCUUUGAUUUAUAGCUUUAUUACAUUGCAAGUUUUAUUUUGUGUACAUUGUGAUCGUAGGAGCCAUUUGAAGAAGAGUGUGCUAAUCGCGAGUGUAGAAAGUAAACACGAGACGACUUCAAAAGAAACAUUACCCGGAAGUGGGCAAGUAAUCUAAUAUCCCCAGGUCACCUGGUUUCCGGAAGUGCUUUAAUAAAGCCUCUGACUACCCGUACUUACACUGAAGCAGUAAUAUUAGGAAUACAUUGUAGUAAAAUAAUAUGAAGGUAGCGGGUACACGGUAUGGUCCUCCAGGGAGCCGGGAAUACUUCCCGCUCACGGAACUAGGUGGAUAAACGUAGAUAAUACGCCGUAUUUAUCCGUACUCCCACUCACAAAAUGGCUAGACGUAAUGACCGCCGCCAGGUAUAGAAAAGAAAUUAAAUGAAAACCCCUGCACAGUAUUGAUAAAUAAAUCGCUGUACUCAGAAUAAACGUGGGUAAUUUGUAACCGAUUGUGGGCGUUUCGACUACCCACAUAAUAAAGAACUUAUAUUUAACUGUUUGAAUAUUUUCAGGACACGUCCUUCCCUU